UAAUGUGAUUUGUAAAAAGCUUGACUGAGAAAGAAAGUAUCUAUUAAGAUAUAUUAAUGCUUAUUUUUUUUUUUUUGCAAUUCACAGAAGAAAACAUAACACAAGAGAAGAUCCCCUUCAGGUCAUCAGGAUUAUUAAAAAAAAAGAAACAAAAAAAGAAGUGAAACAAAUGUUAAUUUGUGAUGCACACACAAAAAAACUGAGACUAAUGCUACACAAUGAAAUAACUGUGUUGAUUGAUGAAUUGAAUAUGCAUACUGUCAGUGUGUACGCUCUAUCCAAUGUACUGGUCAGAGAUUGUAGGAUUGCUAUGACAACAAUGCGUUAGAUUUUAAAAUUAGGCAUGUGUUGAAGUAUAACAUGUUCUCUUAUUUACAAAAAUGUAUAAGCUGUAAAAAAAAAAAGAGUUAAUAUGCUCAGCGUCAACAAUGAUGGAUAAAGUCUUACACACAUUCACACACUCUU
Biomphalaria pfeifferi is the source of this 465-nucleotide non-coding RNA. The record is from the annotation of a GenBank genome assembly. Lineage: Eukaryota; Metazoa; Mollusca; Gastropoda; Planorbidae.